RNAcentral lists this ribosomal RNA (256 nucleotides) under uncultured bacterium. Its description in RNAcentral is "partial 16S ribosomal RNA". It matches the Rfam family "Bacterial small subunit ribosomal RNA", at positions 524 to 776 of the family's 1533-position model. The record is from RNAcentral.
UACGUAGGGUGCAAGCGUUGUCCGGAAUUAUUGGGCGUAAAGAGCUCGUAGGCGGUCUGUCGCGUCUGCUGUGAAAACUCAGGGCUUAACCCUGAGCUUGCAGUGGGUACGGGCAGACUAGAGUGUGGUAGGGGAGACUGGAAUUCCUGGUGUAGCGGUGAAAUGCGCAGAUAUCAGGAGGAACACCGAUGGCGAAGGCAGGUCUCUGGGCCACUACUGACGCUGGAGAAGCGAAAAGCAUGGGGGAGCGAACAGG